Molecule: transfer RNA, 74 nt
Filed under: Bacteroidetes/Chlorobi group bacterium ChocPot_Mid
Lineage: Bacteria; Pseudomonadati
Description: tRNA-Ala
Rfam family: tRNA
About the family: Transfer RNA (tRNA) molecules are approximately 80 nucleotides in length. Their secondary structure includes four short double-helical elements and three loops (D, anti-codon, and T loops). Further hydrogen bonds mediate the characteristic L-shaped molecular structure. tRNAs have two regions of fundamental functional importance: the anti-codon, which is responsible for specific mRNA codon recognition, and the 3' end, to which the tRNAs corresponding amino acid is attached (by aminoacyl-tRNA synthetases). tRNAs cope with the degeneracy of the genetic code in two manners: having more than one tRNA (with a specific anti-codon) for a particular amino acid; and 'wobble' base-pairing, i.e. permitting non-standard base-pairing at the 3rd anti-codon position.
Source: RNAcentral
GGGCCCAUAGCUCAGUUUGGGAGAGCGCUUGAAUGGCAUUCAAGAGGUCAGGAGUUCGAUCCUCCUUGGGUCCA